Molecule: transfer RNA, 68 nt
Filed under: Callisaurus draconoides
Lineage: Eukaryota; Metazoa; Chordata; Lepidosauria; Squamata; Phrynosomatidae
Description: tRNA-Lys
Source: RNAcentral
CACUGAGAAGCUUUGAACAAGCACUAGCCUUUUAAGCUAGAGAAGGGAAAUUAACUACCCCUCAAUGA